RNAcentral lists this long non-coding RNA (346 nucleotides) under Musa acuminata (dwarf banana). RNAcentral describes it as "long non-coding RNA (MACU_LNC011018)". The record is from RNAcentral. Lineage: Eukaryota; Viridiplantae; Streptophyta; Magnoliopsida; Zingiberales; Musaceae.
GAUACAGACCUACACCGAAUUCUUGAUCUUUUCUGUGAUUCUAAGAGCUCAAAUUUGUGUAAAGUCCUAAAGUUCUCCUCUUUCUGUUCUUCAAGUUUUGAGUUGUAAAGAGAGGAGAGAAAGGUCCUGUAAGGGUUGUCUCCUGAGCCCAUCAAAAGGAGUGAAUCUGUAAAAGGGCAGUUGGCCUUCGCCUAUUGAAGGAAGGCCUCUAGUUGACAUCGGUGACCUCGUCGGUGGAGGAAGCCAAAAGUGGAGUAGGUCAAGACUGACCGAACCACUCUAAAUCUCUGGUUUGCGUUUAUUUUGAGCACUUUAUCAUUACUGCAAACCUCCUACAUAGCUACUG